GACGAACGCUGGCGGCGUGCUUAACACAUGCAAGUCGAACGGAAAGGCCCUGCUUUUGUGGGGUGCUCGAGUGGCGAACGGGUGAGUAACACGUGAGUAACCUGCCCUUGACUUUGGGAUAACUUCAGGAAACUGGGGCUAAUACCGGAUAGGAGCUCCUGCUGCAUGGUGGGGGUUGGAAAGUUUCGGCGGUUGGGGAUGGACUCGCGGCUUAUCAGCUUGUUGGUGGGGUAGUGGCUUACCAAGGCUUUGACGGGUAGCCGGCCUGAGAGGGUGACCGGGCACACUGGGGCUGAGAUACGGCGCAGACUCCUCCGCGGGGCAGCGGUGGGGGAUAUUGUGCAAUGGGGGGGGGCGUGAGGCAGCAACGCCGCGUGCGGGAGGUGGGGCUUUGGGGGGUAUAACGCGUUUUCCUGUGACGAAGCGUGAGUGACGCGAAUGUGGAUAGAGGCGCCCGCGAUCUACGUG
This 468-nucleotide ribosomal RNA is filed under the name uncultured bacterium. Its description in RNAcentral is "partial 16S ribosomal RNA". It matches the Rfam family "Bacterial small subunit ribosomal RNA", at positions 28 to 507 of the family's 1533-position model. The record is from RNAcentral.